This 296-nucleotide long non-coding RNA is filed under the name Prunus persica (peach). RNAcentral describes it as "long non-coding RNA (PPER_LNC006198)". Lineage: Eukaryota; Viridiplantae; Streptophyta; Magnoliopsida; Rosales; Rosaceae. The record is from RNAcentral.
CUUAAUCUAAUAUCGAUUGGCCAAUGAAAUUGGACAAUUCAACUUCUAUGAAGUUCGUUCCAUAAAUAUUGUGGUUGGUGUAUUGCAUAGUUUUAGCCAUUGAAUUUCAAUCAAAACUCACCAAAUGACUCCUCCCACCAUAUUAUAAGGUUGACCAAGUUUUGGACUGAAUCCGAUAUGGAUUGGCCAAUGAAAUUGGGCAAUUCGAGUUCAUACGAAGUUAGUUCCGUAAAUGGAGUGGAGGGUUUAUUGCAUAGUUUUAGCCAUUGGAUUUCACUCAAAACUCACCAAUUGAC